CGUGGUGGCUUGUGCCUGUAGUCCCAGCUACUCAGGAGGCUGAGGAAGGAGGAUUGCUUGAGCCCAGGAGUCCAAGGUUCCAAUGAGCUUUGAUUGUGCCACGGCACACACUAGCCUGGGCAACAGAGCAAGACCCUG
Long non-coding RNA from Cebus imitator (Panamanian white-faced capuchin), 138 nucleotides. RefSeq lists it as uncharacterized. The transcript has 2 exons. Lineage: Eukaryota; Metazoa; Chordata; Mammalia; Primates; Cebidae. The record is from RefSeq and is a predicted model, not a curated record.